UACGUAUGUGGCGAGCGUUGUCCGGAUUUACUGGGCGUAAAGGGAGCGUAGGCGGACUUUUAAGUGAGAUGUGAAAUACCCGGGCUCAACUUGGGUGCUGCAUUUCAAACUGGAAGUCUAGAGUGCAGGAGAGGAGAAUGGAAUUCCUAGUGUAGCGGUGAAAUGCGUAGAGAUUAGGAAGAACACCAGUGGCGAAGGCGAUUCUCUGGACUGUAACUGACGCUGAGGCUCGAAAGCGUGGGGAGCAAACAGGAUUAGAUA
RNAcentral lists this ribosomal RNA (261 nucleotides) under uncultured prokaryote. RNAcentral's name for it is "partial 16S ribosomal RNA". It matches the Rfam family "Bacterial small subunit ribosomal RNA", at positions 524 to 784 of the family's 1533-position model. The record is from RNAcentral.